This is a long non-coding RNA of Hibiscus syriacus, 610 nucleotides long. RefSeq lists it as uncharacterized. The transcript has 5 exons. The record is from RefSeq and is a predicted model, not a curated record. Lineage: Eukaryota; Viridiplantae; Streptophyta; Magnoliopsida; Malvales; Malvaceae.
UGUUUUGUUUUUGCAUAGCAUGCUAAAGUAACUUGUAGGAAUGCCUCCUAUUAACAUAUUGCUGCUUCCCCUCCCCUUACACCGUUCAGUUCUAGGCAUACUAUGUCACUUACCAUGUUUUUGAAGAAGCUCUUAGCUUUGCGACAUGAAAAUGGAGCAGUGUCUGCACUCUUCAUGGCAAUUGUGCUCUGAAGGUUUCUAUGCAUGACUCUGGCUCUAUUGUCUUAUUUAAACUGAAAAGAGCUGAUGGUUCUUGGUUUGGAUAUCGGGAGGUGGAAAAAUUGGCAUCCUUAUCUGGAAUUCAGUUACGGGAUGCUUUUGCAAUCCUGGUUCCUGUGCAAAAUAUCUUGGCUUGUCUAACUCGGAUCUUCUUUCUAUCGUAGAGGCUGGGCAUGUUAGCUGGGAUGACAAUGAUGUAAUAAAUGGAAAACCAACUGGAGCGGUUAGAGUAUCUAUUGGUUACAUGUCAACUUAUGAAGAUGCUAAGAAACUUGUUGAUUUUAUGAGAAGGUCCUUUGUAUCCAUACCAAGUGAGUUCGAGAAAGGGUACCUGUUCAGAUCAAAGUCAAUUCCAUACCAAAACUGAAGGUUGUUCAGGGUUUUGGUUCAU